UGGGGAAUUUUGGACAAUGGGCGAAAGCCUGAUCCAGCAAUGCCGCGUGUGUGAAGAAGGCCUUCGGGUUGUAAAGCACUUUUGUCCGGAAAGAAAUCCUUGGCUCUAAUACAGUCGGGGGAUGACGGUACCGGAAGAAUAAGCACCGGCUAACUACGUGCCAGCAGCCGCGGUAAUACGUAGGGUGCAAGCGUUAAUCGGAAUUACUGGGCGUAAAGCCUGCGCAGGCGGUUUGCUAAGACCGAUGUGAAAUCCCCGGGCUCAACCUGGGAACUGCAUUGGUGACUGGCAGGCUAGAGUAUGGCAGAGGGGGGUAGAAUUCCACGUGUAGCAGUGAAAUGCGUAGAGAUGUGGAGGAAUACCGAUGGCGAAGGCAGCCCCCUGGGCCAAAUACUGACGCUCAUGCACGAAAGCGUGGGGAGCAAAACAGGAUUAGAUACCCUGGUAGUCCACGCCCUAAANGNUNNCAACUAGUUGGUUGGGAUUCAUUUCCUUAGUAAACCGUAGCUAACGCGUGAAGUUGACCGCCUGGGGAGUAC
Molecule: ribosomal RNA, 539 nt
Filed under: uncultured bacterium
Lineage: Bacteria
Description: partial 16S ribosomal RNA
Rfam family: Bacterial small subunit ribosomal RNA
Source: RNAcentral